UCUGGGACCUCAUCCACCUCCUGAAGCUGUUGGUCCUCUGGGGCCUUAUCCACCUUCUGCAACUGUAGGUCUUCUGGGACCUCAUCCACCUCCUGCAGCUGGUGGUCCUCUCGGACCUCAUCCAUCUCCUGCACCAGUAGGUCCUCUGGGAUCUCAUCCACCUCCUGCAGCUGUUGGUCCUCUGGGACCUCAUCCACCUCCUGCAGCUCCUUGUCCUCCCGGACCUUAUCCAUCUUCUGCAUGUUUCUGUCCUCCGGGACCUCAUCCAUCUUUUAUAGCUGCCUUUCCUCUGGGACAUCAUUCACCUUUUUGUUCUGUGAGGCCUCUGGGACCUCCGACUACAUCUCCACUUAGUAAUCUCUGGAUCCUCAGCCACCCCUUCUACCUGGGUGGCCUCUGGCCCCUCAACUACCACCUUCACAUGAAUCUCCUCAGCUACUUCAAUAAUCUCCACUUGUGGUCCCUGGGACUUCAGCCACCUCCUCCACCAGGGUCUCUUCUAGUACAUCUGCCACCUCCUCCACUUGCCUGGCCUCUGCUAUCUGAACCAACUCCUCUGGGACCUCAACCAGCUCCUCUACCCAUUGUGGCCUGUAAGACCUCAACCACCAACUCCACAUGUACCACUUGGAUAAUUUUGAAAUUUGAAGAGUCUCCUGGGCCAUGAUAUCUUGGAAAAGUCUCCACCAUAUUUGAUGCUCCAUGCCCCGUGCUCCCUCCUCUCUCUCUCAUUUCCAGUGUUUCCCUUUAGAAACAUUUGCAGUCCUAUCUUUCUGGGUGUCUGCUUCCUGGAGGACCAGUUCACACCCCAGGGUAUACCAGGUGUGACUCCUCGUACACUAUUCAAACUCAGGCAGAUACUGCCUUGCUGGACACAGAAGCAGGGUUACCCUUUGGGUAGUGUUGACUGGUAAGGGCCCGAGGGGGACUUCUGGGGUGGGGGAAUAUCCUGUAUCCAGCCACGGGUGGAGGUUGUGCUCAUUCAUUCUAGAAAGAGUCACUGUGUUCCUAGUGACUGCCAGUGGUGCCUUGUGAGCAGAUAGACAGUAAUACAUCCCCAUGAGGUGGCCAACUUCUGACAGGGAAUAGAAGGGCCCAGCAGCGGCUGUGGAGCCCUUAAGGAGCCUCGCAGAGACUCAGGGUUUGUCAGAGCCCAUGCCCCACUGAGCCAGCUGCCCCCCGGUAGCACCAACUCCAGGCGGCUCUAAGGGAAGCUGAGCUGGGUGUAGACAUUUCUCCAUAAGUCCUGUGCCCCCCACCAUCUUCCUGUAAUUUUUAAAUUGUGUGAUAGGCAGAGAUCGGUGGUGAGAGGCUAACUGAGCUGGACUGGAGAGGAGUGAAGAACGCAGGGGUGAGGUCAGUCAGAGGACGGGACAGGCAGAGAGAAGAUGAGAGAGAAGGGAUGAGAGAGGGAGGGGAAGGACAAAGAGAAGGAGAAAGACAGGGAGGAUAGAGAGAGAGGGGUUGAAACAGUGAGAGAAAGAGAGAAGGGAGAGAGAGAGAAGGUGGAGGGUGAGGGGAGAGAGAGAGAGAUGGAGAUGGGAGGAUGGAGUCAUGGAGAGAAGUUGAUUUGGGCCCAGGGGGAGAAAAGGAAAGCUGGAAGAGACAAAGACAGAAGGACCCACAGUGAGAACCAAGGGAGCUGGAGGGAGGGAGGUGUCCAGAGAGCUGGCCAGUGAUCCACAUACCGAGAGGAAGGCAGAGAGUAAAAGAGAAGAGAGGAAUGAAGACAGAGGAAACAAGAGAGAUGGAGAGGACUGAGACAGGGAGAGGAGGCUGGAGAGAAUCACAGACAAACAGCACAAUAGAGGAAGGGAAAGAGUUGUUGAAGACAGGGUCACAGAAAGAGAGAAAGGAAGGACAAAGAGGGAGGCAGAGAGAAGCAGAGAGAAGCAGAGAAAGAGAAAGCAGGGAACAAAGCAGUGAGCCGGCAGGAGGUGGAGGGGGGGCGGCACAGCAGUUGGGAGGAGUUCUUGCACUCCAAGCCGUGACCUCCUUGGGGCCUUGAAAGCCCAUCACAUGGGGACACGUAGGCCUCCCUUGUGGCUGGGUUGCUGUGUGGAGCCUCUGGGUCUGUCCCUGAAGCAGGGACUUCCAGGGGAAAGGGCUGCCCUGUCACAGGUUUGCCUCCUCUGUGGGGUGGGGACCCAGAGCAGCCUCCCUCGCUGUCCUGGUCCCUGCUGCAUUUCCCAUCCUGGCCAGCUAGGUGGCCGUCAAGUCCCAUACCUGGGAACCAGGCUGAGACCCUUUGUCCAGCCUCAUCUGUUCUCACCUGGCUCCAGAUUCCAGCCACAGCUCUGGCAAACAGUCCAUGCGUGCUGGCUGUCACCAGAUCCACACACCCCGG
This 2347-nucleotide long non-coding RNA is filed under the name Homo sapiens (human). RNAcentral's name for it is "non-protein coding lnc-SFTPA2-1:5". The record is from RNAcentral. Lineage: Eukaryota; Metazoa; Chordata; Mammalia; Primates; Hominidae.